GACGAACCGUCCUAACGUUGUUCGGAAUCACUGGGCUUAAAGGGCGCGUAGGCGGGCCGCCAAGUCUGAGGUGAAAUCUUUCGGCUUAACCGGAAAAUAGCCUUGGAUACUGGCGGUCUCGAGGGUGGUAGGGGCAUGUGGAACUUCCGGUGGAGCGGUGAAAUGCGUUGAUAUCCAGCGGAACUCCGGUGGCGAAGGCGGCUCGCUGGACCUUAACUGACGCUGAGGCGCGAAAGCCAGGGGAGCGAACGGG
Molecule: ribosomal RNA, 253 nt
Filed under: uncultured bacterium
Lineage: Bacteria
Description: partial 16S ribosomal RNA
Rfam family: Bacterial small subunit ribosomal RNA
Source: RNAcentral